This is a long non-coding RNA of Vigna angularis (adzuki bean), 130 nucleotides long. RefSeq lists it as uncharacterized. The record is from RefSeq and is a predicted model, not a curated record. The transcript has 3 exons. Lineage: Eukaryota; Viridiplantae; Streptophyta; Magnoliopsida; Fabales; Fabaceae.
UCUCUUCAUAGGAAGAUUAAAGCGGAGUUGAAGUCCUUGAUACAAACAGUUGUGACUAGGACCAGAGGACAACAACUUGAAAUUAUAUAUCCUAAGUGUAAUAAGCAGAAUGAUUCCUGGGCAUGUGGCU